CCUAUUGGUUCGGAACAACUGAGGGAAACUUCAGCUAAUACCGAAUGUGCCCUAACGGGGAAAGAUUUAUCGCCAAUGGAUUAGCCCGCGUCCGAUUAGCUAGUUGGUGAGGUAACGGCUCACCAAGGCUCCGAUCGGUAGCUGUUCUGAGAGGAAGAUCAGCCACACUGGGACUGAGACACGGCCCAGACUCCUACGGGAGGCAGCAGUUGGGAAUCUUGGACAAUGGGGGAAACCCUGAUCCAGCCAUGCCGCGUGAGUGAUGAAGGCCUUCGGGUUGUAAAACUCUUUCGACGGGGACGAUAAUGACGGUACCCGUAGAAGAAGCUCCGGCUAACUUCGUGCCAGCAGCCGCGGUAAUACGAAGGGGGCUAGCGUUGUUCGGAAUUACUGGGCGUAAAGCGCGCGCAGGCGGUCUUUCAAGUCAGUGGUGAAA
This 436-nucleotide ribosomal RNA is filed under the name uncultured bacterium. RNAcentral's name for it is "bacterial SSU rRNA". It matches the Rfam family "Bacterial small subunit ribosomal RNA", at positions 129 to 599 of the family's 1533-position model. The record is from RNAcentral.